Molecule: non-coding RNA, 313 nt
Organism: Anas platyrhynchos (mallard)
Lineage: Eukaryota; Metazoa; Chordata; Aves; Anseriformes; Anatidae
Source: RefSeq, a predicted model, not a curated record
GGCGGUGUUGGCCUGAAACGUACCACAAAAUGCGUAACCCGCUGCGGUCACCUCCACACGUCGUGCUGAGGCCGCUUUCAGGAAACACAGGCGGAGAGAUAAAGGGUGGGCAGCCCGCAACCGCCACAAAACGCCCCCCCAACAGCAAACCUCGCAGGGUUCCGUGUGCAGAGAACAGCUGUUUCCUGAGUUCCCAGCAUACAAAAGCACUCACUGCGCACAGUUCUCACCAUGGAAAAGAAUGGGAAAAAUGACCUACUGAAUGUCAGUGGCUUUGUUACAACAGUGACAAGAAACAAGAGGCUACAUGGAU